This 253-nucleotide ribosomal RNA is filed under the name uncultured bacterium. RNAcentral's name for it is "partial 16S ribosomal RNA". It matches the Rfam family "Bacterial small subunit ribosomal RNA", at positions 524 to 776 of the family's 1533-position model. The record is from RNAcentral.
UACGUAGGGGGCAAGCGUUGUCCGGAUUUACUGGGCGUAAAGCGUGCGCAGGCGGUUUUGUAAGCCAGAUGUGAGAUCCCCGGGCUCAACCUGGGAAUGGCAUUUGGGACUGCAAGGCUGGAGUACGGCAGAGGAGACUGGAAUUCCUGGUGUAGCAGUGAAAUGCGUAGAUAUCAGGAGGAAUACCGAUGGCGAAGGCAGGUCUCUGGGCUGAUACUGACGCUCAUGCACGAAAGCGUGGGGAGCAAACAGG